Corapipo altera (White-ruffed manakin) is the source of this 489-nucleotide long non-coding RNA. RefSeq lists it as uncharacterized. The transcript is spliced from 3 exons. NCBI's taxonomy places the organism in Eukaryota, Metazoa, Chordata, Aves, Passeriformes, Pipridae. The record is from RefSeq and is a predicted model, not a curated record.
UGCAGGACUAAGCAUGCUCAGGGAAAAAGCUUUUUCUCCUUUGCCUGACAAGCCCCAGGUUUGAACUCAUUCCAGAAUGCCGGAUUUACUUUUCUUGGGGAAGAAACAGUACCUGCCUGGGCUGCAUUUUUUUCCUUCCCUCCUCAGAAGACUGGAAACAAUAUUCUUUUGAUGCCGGGUGCGCUCCCAGUAACGUGCCUGCCUGCAAGUGGGAAUCUUGCCCUGGAGAAGGAGACAAACUUUGGUACCUGUGAAAUGAAGACUCCUUAGGUAGCAGAGGAAAUGAAAGCAAUUCUAUUUACCAUAUUGCUCACAGACUCCACAAAUGAGUAACUUGAUGACUUCAGUGGGAAUUGCUCUUAAACAAGAGAGAGAAAGGGUCACCUGGAUUCUCCUGGAGAUGGGAGUCAGGGGCACAAGUCUCCAGGAAGGCACAAGAAGAGGAUCUCAAAUGCUGCCUCUUCUCCAGAGGCUCCAUCCCACAUCGAG